Molecule: long non-coding RNA, 1628 nt
Organism: Passer domesticus (house sparrow)
Lineage: Eukaryota; Metazoa; Chordata; Aves; Passeriformes; Passeridae
Exons: 5
Source: RefSeq, a predicted model, not a curated record
CUUUUAUUACUGCUAAUUCAACCACAGUGGCAAGGGUUCUCCAGCUCUCCAUGGAAAUAUGCUGGAUAGGAUAGUGUCAGCCAUAUUCUGCUUCAAGGUCUCCACUCCAUUCCAAUGCAAUAUCUUGCUGUAUUCUAUAUGCACAGCAAUAAGGAUGCUCUGCAGCAAAAUUACUGCUUCUUUCCCAAAGACAAAUGUCAGCCUAGCAGGAUGCCAUCUGCUUCUGCCCCCAGUGUGUUCCUGCUAACCCUCAAAACACCUGCUUUGUGACACACAAAGUGCAGAGCUGCCGAGCAGGAAGAAGCAGAAGUCAGGGAGCAUGGAAAGUCUUCAGGCACCCUCUAAAGGCAUCACCAUCCUGCCUGCUGGGCCCAAUAUUUGCAAGGUCUCUCUUCCCAACAGGGAUGGGGUCAGAUGCUUGACCAAACCAAGAUGUGGGCAGCAUAGCUGUUGUCAUUUAUUUUAGGGACUAGGCAGAAUAUAUUCAUUCCUGUCACUUAGGACCACUUACAGAAUGGUUCCUAUGUUCCUCCAUCUGUUUAGUUAAUAUCCCUGACCAGUGAAGGCCGAACACAGACAUGGCCAAUAUUAAGAGACUGAGUUUUCUUGCUUGGUCACCAUCACGCUUUUACCACCACUCACAGUCUUGCCCCAAACAACCACCAGUUUAUUCACAAUUGAUGUUGGCUCUGCUCAAGGAUAUUUACAUUAUACUUAUAGCACUAAGAUCAAGUUGGUAAACCAGAGUAAGACUCCAAUAGACAAGUGAGAGCUUCUACAUACCAUUUUUUUAAGGUCAAUCAGAAUGACACAAAUUGUGUGAAAAUCAAAUAAAAAAAUACUACAUUAUUAGUUUAAUUAAUGGUCCAGCAAACUAAUGUAAAAGUAAGAAAUACUUCAAUUAAAAUUAUCCCAUUCCUACUGCGGAUUAUCACCAAUAUAACAAAUGCCUAAAAUGAAGUAUUCCAAUGUCAAGUUCUCAUCCUUUUGGUGCAGUAAGUUGUCAGCCAGAAGAAUGAUGUUGAUGGUGAGUUUUUUCUUCUCAGGUCUUGUAUCCAUUCUAUGAGUACUCUUGUGUACUUUGUCCUCCACUUUGUAAAUAGGUUCCUCUCCUAAUGGUUCUUAGCAUUAGCCACGAUUCCUUCUGUAUACAAGGGAAGGGCCACAGAUCAAAACCUUCAAGGCAACAUCAGAUCUAGUUGUGUUCCUGACAGGCACAGAGGAACAUGUUUGCAUUUGGCAGCAGACUGUAGAAUGUGAAAGCAGAAACUGGGAGAAGUGCAGCUGAGGGCUGCCAUUCUCAGCAACAGGGACUAUCUCGAUAGCGAAUCCCUGCCUACGUCCCAGGAUGGCAUGGUAGAGUUUAAGAGAAAUGUGAUUCUGUAGUCACUGAAAUCCACAGACUCUCCCAGAAGGGCAUCUUUUAACAGGAGAGAUACCUGACAGGCAAAAAUCCACACUACAGUAGGCAAGAGAAAUGGGAAACUUUCAAAAAAUGGCAAUGAACUCUUCAGGAACACCACAGCAUCUACCUGCUUGACCAGAUAACAAUAGAUAAACUGAGAAAAAGGCCAGUAAGAAUGGCCUGAGUAAGAGGGAGGUGCAGAAACAGACCAAUGAUGACAAGA